UGUUUUACAUGUCCUCUUCUUACCACGUUUGUGUUCAUCCGCUUUUUGUGUACAAAAUGGCAUAAUACAAAUGGCGGCUUGGAGGCCAACAAAAUAGUAUUCAUAUGCCUUGCGUAAUGUCUAUGAGACUGGAAUCGAUUCAAGAAGAAAUGGGAAGCUCUCAGUCAUCGACUUAAAGCUGUUGGGCUUAGCCAUCAGGUCCAUCUCGUCUAGAUUUCUGCUGAAUGAAGACUCCAACAGAACCAUCUGCUGCUUCUAAGACAAUAACUGCCUUGACCUUGCAUUGGCCCUCCCUGUUAAGCAGUUCACGGGUGGCGGAUGCAGUGGUCGAGGACUUUGAAGCAGCUUGUGAGUCUGGCUUUUGACAAGGCUACCGAGUCUGCUGCAUGGUUUUCUGGCCACACCUCUUUGGGAGCAGACCCAAAACCCCAUGGAGAAGAUGGGGAGGAUCCAUCUUCUGGCCUGCAAGUAGAAUGAAUGGAUGGACAGAUUGAAAAAAAAUAGGCAUUCAUUGUUUUGUUUUUUUUCUGUGAAAUACUGAACUAACACCACUGCUAAACUAUAGUUGCUAGUCUAA
Long non-coding RNA from Poecilia latipinna (sailfin molly), 577 nucleotides. RefSeq lists it as uncharacterized. The record is from RefSeq and is a predicted model, not a curated record. The transcript has 3 exons. NCBI's taxonomy places the organism in Eukaryota, Metazoa, Chordata, Actinopteri, Cyprinodontiformes, Poeciliidae.